This 471-nucleotide ribosomal RNA is filed under the name uncultured bacterium. RNAcentral describes it as "bacterial SSU rRNA". It matches the Rfam family "Bacterial small subunit ribosomal RNA", at positions 28 to 498 of the family's 1533-position model. The record is from RNAcentral.
GACGAACGCUGGCGGCGUGCUUAACACAUGCAAGUCGAACGGAGUGCCCAUGACAGAGGCUUCGGCCAAUGGAUUGGGUUACUUAGUGGCGGACUGGUGAGUAACGCGUGAGCAACCUGCCCUUCAGAGGGGGACAACAGUUGGAAACGACUGCUAAUACCGCAUAAUGUAUUCGGAAGGCAUCUUCUGAAUACCAAAGGAGAAAUCCGCUGAUGGAUGGGCUCACGUCUGAUUAGCUAGUUGGUGAGGUAACGGCUCACCAAGGCUGCGAUCAGUAGCCGGACUGAGAGGUUGAACGGCCACAUUGGAACUGAGACACGGUCCAAACUCCUACGGGAGGCAGCAGUGGGGGAUAUUGCACAAUGGGGAAACCCUGAUGCAGCGACGCCGCGUGAGUGAAGAAGUAUUUCGGUAUGUAAAGCUCUAUCAGCAGGAAAGAUAAUGACGGUACCUGACUAAGAAGCACCGGCU